Gadus morhua (Atlantic cod) is the source of this 211-nucleotide long non-coding RNA. RefSeq lists it as uncharacterized. The transcript is spliced from 3 exons. The record is from RefSeq and is a predicted model, not a curated record. Lineage: Eukaryota; Metazoa; Chordata; Actinopteri; Gadiformes; Gadidae.
CUCACCCAGAGCCAGACCUCCACCUCCUGUCAGAAGUCCUCCAGAACAGCUGAAGGGCGAGGCUGAGAGGCUGGGGACCGGAGGAUUGUGGUGCCAGGGUGGACCGGAGACUGAGGCUGGAGACCAGGGGCCGGCAGCACCGGAUCAGAGGACCAGGAAUCCAUGGCUGAAGGAGCUGAUGGAGGAGCUGUGCUGAUGGAGGAGCCGUGCU